Long non-coding RNA from Tupaia belangeri chinensis (Chinese tree shrew), 341 nucleotides. RefSeq lists it as uncharacterized. NCBI's taxonomy places the organism in Eukaryota, Metazoa, Chordata, Mammalia, Scandentia, Tupaiidae. The transcript is spliced from 4 exons. The record is from RefSeq and is a predicted model, not a curated record.
GGCGGCUUUUUCGGAUUCCCUCUCCGCCUGUGAUGCUCAGUUCCUUCCACGUGGUCGCUGGGGAGAACCUGCCACCCUGCUGACCGCGCUCUGCUGGACACGGUGUCCAUGACAAGACAAAAUUUGGACAAUCCUACCUUCUCCUGAAGUACUGGAUGCUGCUCAGAGAUAAAUUUUAGAACUUUUGGUCUCUUUUUCCAUGAAAAUAAAACAUACUGGAAUUUUGAUGGAAUAUUUGUGACAGAGAUAGCCCUUCAUUUUGAUGAAUUUUGAAAAGGUGGUCAUCUUUGUAAAGAGAGAUUUUUACCACAGGGUACGUAUACUUGCUGGAAAGACAGAUA